Small nucleolar RNA from Ornithorhynchus anatinus (platypus), 135 nucleotides. The record is from RefSeq and is a predicted model, not a curated record. Lineage: Eukaryota; Metazoa; Chordata; Mammalia; Monotremata; Ornithorhynchidae.
CAACUCUCGGGGUCGCACCUGGAGAGUUUCCAGGACUCUACCAGUCUCGACUAUGGGAGAGAGUCAAGCAAAAGGAACUUUUUUCAUUCCUAGCUUGGGCAGUGGCUAGCGAGUGGAAGGCAAUCUGCUACAAGU